RNAcentral lists this ribosomal RNA (261 nucleotides) under uncultured prokaryote. RNAcentral's name for it is "partial 16S ribosomal RNA". It matches the Rfam family "Bacterial small subunit ribosomal RNA", at positions 524 to 784 of the family's 1533-position model. The record is from RNAcentral.
UACGUAGGUGGCGAGCGUUGUCCGGAUUUACUGGGCGUAAAUGGAGCGUAGGCGGACUUUUAAGUGAGAUGUGAAAUACCCGGGCUCAACUUGGGUGCUGCAUUUCAAACUGGAAGUCUAGAGUGCAGGAGAGGAGAAUGGAAUUCCUAGUGUAGCGGUGAAAUGCGUAGAGAUUAGGAAGAACACCAGUGGCGAAGGCGAUUCUCUGGACUGUAACUGACGCUGAGGCUCGAAAGCGUGGGGAGCAAACAGGAUUAGAUA